Non-coding RNA from Acanthosepion pharaonis, 114 nucleotides. NCBI's taxonomy places the organism in Eukaryota, Metazoa, Mollusca, Cephalopoda, Sepiida, Sepiidae. The record is from the annotation of a GenBank genome assembly.
UACGACCACGUCACGUUGAAACACCGGUUACCGUACGAUCAACGAAGUUAAGCAACGUCUGGCCUGUCCAAUACCUAGAUGGGUGACCUCACUGGAAAUUCCAGGCACUGUAAG